RNAcentral lists this long non-coding RNA (703 nucleotides) under Helianthus annuus (common sunflower). RNAcentral describes it as "sRNA HanXRQr2_Chr08g0361421". Lineage: Eukaryota; Viridiplantae; Streptophyta; Magnoliopsida; Asterales; Asteraceae. The record is from RNAcentral.
UUGUUGCUUUGGUUGACAUUUGUUAGACUUUCUUGAUCUUGAAGUCUUGUGCACAAUUUGAUUCGGAUAGUGAUGAAACAAUGUCACGGGUUUCUUGAUAAAUUGGCGUUGACUUUUUGGGUGAUCAUCAAUCGUGUAACAUGCUCAAGUUGUACUCUUCAAAUCUUGUUUUAGGCAAGUGGGUUUGAAGAUAUUUGUGAUGAUUUUGAGCUUUUGGGGUUGAAUUUGGUGUUGUUUAUGUGUAAACGGAUGAAUCUGGGGUGGAAUCAAAGCUUAUAGAUAAUGGGAAUCAAGAAAAGGGUGGGGAGAAAGUGGAAGAUGAAGAUGAUGAAUCAAAGAAACUGUUGUUGCCUAACAAGGUGGAGAGUGGUCUGUGUUUUGAAAGAGAGAAGAGGUGAGAAGAGGUGGGCUUAUGUCUGCGUGGGGAAGAGGUGGGGAAGAAGUAAAAGGUGAGAAGUGCUUCUGGAAAACAAACAAGCUGCAGGACCCAAAGGUCUGCGCGUGUCUGCGCGAUGCAGACAUAAGUGGCCAGAAGUGCUUCUGACCAAAAAAACAAACAACACCUAAUUACCCUUGUGAGAUCUGAUAAAAAAAUCUAACUGAGUUAGGAUUAAAAGACAUAAUAUGCAAGGAUUUUGAAACGUUAAGUACAAAACUCCUCAAAUUUUGCGACAAAGAACACCGCCUGUAAAAUGGUAUGAAA